This is a long non-coding RNA of Paramisgurnus dabryanus, 2294 nucleotides long. RefSeq lists it as uncharacterized. Lineage: Eukaryota; Metazoa; Chordata; Actinopteri; Cypriniformes; Cobitidae. The record is from RefSeq and is a predicted model, not a curated record.
ACUCUACAUUGUAAUACUCACCCAGUUACAGUAAUUUGUGUAAUGUUGGACAUACGAUGAAACAACACGACAUUGAUACAGCAAUUUGAUCUCACACUCAUUUUUAUCAGCAGAUUAGUGUGCUUUGAGUACACCACAGUUCUGUAAGUGAAAAAUUAAUUCAUAUUUAUGUGUGUUUCUUUCUCAGUAAGGACUACCUUUAACUGACUUUCUGUCUGUCUGUCUGUUCUCAACCAAACGGUCAUUCAAGACCUUUUAAAGCAAAAACAUUUCCCGUGCAAGUUUGAAUCUCUCUCAGUAAGGACUUAUUGACUGGCUGUCUGUUCUCGACCAAACGGUCAUUCUUACUCAUAAAAAACUUUUAAAGCACAAGUGUGUCCCGCGCAAGUUUGAAUUUCUCUCAGUAAGGACUGACGGAUGGCCAUUCACUCAUAAAACCUUUUAAAGGUUAGCACGAAUGCAUCCAGCAUAAUUUUGGAUCUUUACCAUUGAGGAGACUGGCUGACUGUUCUCAACAAACCAUCAUUCACACGCAAAAACUUUAAAGGUAAGUAUGAACGUGUCUAGAGCAGUUUUGGAUCUUUACCAUUGAGGAGGUUGACUGACUUUCAUCUACCAACUGUCAUUAACACAACAAAAACUAAAGAAAUGUUACUACAAGUGGACCUAUUCAGUUACUCAUUAUGCUGUGAGUACACCACAAUUUUAUCAGUGAAACAAUAAUGUUUGUUUUUUCUCAAUGCUUGGCAUAGACAAAUGUGACCCUGUGUAAUUUGGAAAUUUCAUGGGAAAUGUGUACGUCUUAAAGAGCACCUAUUAUGGGAUACACGUUUUUAAACAUCCUUUUGUGUGUAAGUGUGCAUUAGUACAUGCUAACGAUAUUCAAAAAGUACAUACCUCAAAGAAAACGAUGACGCGAGUUAUCGUCUCUAACGUUCGAGGACUACAAAAAACACUCGGAUUGUAGGCAACAGUUUACUUCCUGGGAUUGGUGACGUAGAUAAGACCAACAUUAUCAUAGUUCAGCCCUCUCUGCUUUGCUUGGGUACGCCCUCAAAGACGGGGGUGGGGAGCGCCGAGUCAGAAGAGAGCUAAAAUGGCGGAGGUUGUGAGUCCCUGCUGUGACUCUGUUUGCAAACUCUUGUUUCAUUGUUUAAGCGAUUAAAUCUCUCGAGUAGACGCUGUCUCUUUAGAUGCGAGGGCAAAAUAGCACUUUAUGGACUUCCACAGAGGACAUCAUGUUUAAUACGGUUCCGGAAAAAUCCAGUCAGAAGUUGUUCACGGAGUUUUCACAAUAACUGCUUCUCAUGAACCGAAGCUGGAUUUGCGCGAAGUCUCCUCUUGAAAGUUGGAUUACUGUGCACUUCUGGAUCACAGGCUAUUCGCAGCUGGACACAUCCUUCUACACUGUAUGCAAACAUGCAACAUCAUUACACACAGUACGGAGUCAGACUGGCAUAUGAGGAGCAAAGGAACCCAGGCAGUAGCAUCGUUUCACAAUGUUUCCAUCAUCAUCAUCAGUGGAUGCCUUUGCUGUCCGUAGCCUGAGAUUUCAGAUUUGCAGCAAAAAAAAAAUUAUUUUCUCAUUUAUUGGAAUCCUGUGCAGGUAUUUGUACCUUGCAGCCAUCCAUUACAAUGUCACCAAGCCGUAACAAAAGCAGGAGAGGGAAAGUACAAGGCUAUGUUCCCAAAACACACAAGUGACAUACCUUAUGUGGAGGAUGUGAUCAGGCUUGUGUUUGAUGAGGUAUUUAAAGAUAAGCUGAAGGAAGCCCUGAUUCCAAUGGACCUGGCAUCACAGUUUGAGAGACCUUCAAAGGAGGACGUGAUUGCAUGCCAUCUUCAGUGCAGGGGUCGUCAAAAGCCAAAAUUGUGACCGAUCUGAUCAGGAAGCUCCAAGCGUAUCUGGAGAACAACACACGACAGGAUGAUAACCUUAUAGUGUCGUCUUAAAUAGCACCAGCUGACAAAGCUUUGAUAUGCCAUUUAUCUGAAUAGAUAGCUGUAAGAAAUGAAUUGAACAAUUUUUGAAACAAGAGCACAAUAUGGUUACUAAAGUAUGUUUAUUUAUAUAUUGUUUAACAUUUAAAUAUAUAUUUGUAAUAAAUAAAAAAAACUUUUGACUGACUAUUAUAUUUUCUUUAAAGUUACAUCUUUUGUUCUUUUGGGUACUUUGUUACUAUAAUGAUACUUUAGUGUUAUUGGUUUAAAAAUGUAAUAAAACUUACUCUAGUCCUGCACCUCAAAGGCUUAUAGUCGGUACAAUAAAUGUUCUGUGUGUAGGGAUUUAGACA